UAUUUUGUAUUAUUUAAAAAAAUAUUAAUGAGGAUGGUGACCACGACCAUCCGAUGCUUGGAAGCCAUGUGCUAUAAAUUUGGAAUUUGAAGGGAAAGCUGUGGUAGAUAGGUUGUAGGGGUGAAGAUGGCAGGGAAGGGAGGAAGGAGGAGGCGCUAUGGUUUCUGUGGGUUGAGAGGUAGAAGAGGGUGAGAUUGAGAGAGCUGAGAGCACAAGGAGAUGGAUCUUUUUUUUUUCUUUUUUUAAUCUUUUUCAGAGUUAACUAUUAAAUUAGAGUUGGUAGUUGACAGGUGUCAAGCUCUAAGAAAGGCCACAAUGAUGUCACAAAGACUUUUGGGUGCAAAAAAUUUCAACUCCAUCAAAGCCGGCCUUCUUUUUUUUUCUGCAAAUAUCAUCAUGACCCUUUUAUCUUUUCAGCAAUAUCAUCAUUAUAUUAAAUACUUUUCUUUUCUUCACCAUCUUCUCUCAUCAACUUGUCCACUCUAUUUACCCACAUCUAGAAUCAAAGUGAUUCUAAACAUGUCCAAUUUUGAAUGUCAAAUUCUAAUUCCUUGCGUGUAUGAUACCAUGCCAAGUUCGAGUUAGUCAAAACAUUUAGCCUAUGUUUUGGGUGAGGAAAUUCCAAGUUCCAAGAGAUUGAGCGCAUUUAAAACAAAAUGUUAGAUGAAGGGGUUAGAAAAGCCUUCUUCAUGAGCAUUGCAAAAGUAUAGAAAUGAACCAAAUCGAGCCACAUUCUCAGGAUGUACAAAUGAAUCAAACCGAGCCAAAGCAUUCACAACUCUAUUUAUUAAACGGACCUAACAGUGGCACACUCGCAGUUCAUACAAUUUGUUUGCCUAUGCGAGUGACUUCAAAAUUUUGGAGUAAGCAAUCAAACCACAUAGUUUCCAACUUUUUACACAUGUGGCAUGUGGCAUGUGGCAUGUGGUGUGGAUUACAGAUAUACAUCAAAAUACAAGGCUCUGCUGACUUUAGUAUGCAAGUGGGGGUCGUCUGAUUUGGUAGGGUCAAUUGGGCGCGUUUCGCCAAACCAGAUUGGCGUGAGUUACGGAGCAGGUGGGUGUAAAAUGUAUUUGGCCUCGCAAGUUUCGCAGCAACAUCCGUGCACGCUUGUCACACACCUAAGUCCCAGUAACCAAGACUAGAUUGUAACACCACAUUUUUAGGGGAUUGGAUCCUCUCCUGAGCUAAUGGAGAGGAUCCUCCUGAUCAACUAUUGUGGACCGUUGGAUGAAAAUCCAACGGUUACAAAUAAAAAGAUCUUUUUAAAGUUAUAAUAAUUAUAGCCGUUGGAUUUUCAUCCAACGAAAAUCCAACGACCCGUAAUUGUUGGUCAAAGGGAUCUUCUCCAUUAGCUCAGGAGAGGAUCUAAAUCCCAUUUUUGGUGCGCUUUAGAUCGCAAGUUUUCUAGGAGAAAUUUUUAGUUGGAGUAGGAACACAAAUGGUACAUCACGUGUUGUUAUGCAAGUGGUGGAAAAUUUUAAUUUUUAAGUUAUUAACCUUUUGACACAUAUAAUCCACAAUUUCUAUAGGAACGUGUGAUAUAUCACCUCGUGUGACGAUCAUCCUGAAAAAUCUCUCAUUUUCUAGGAACGUUUAACUUUAUCAUUUCUAACUUCUUUUACAUUUGAAGAAAACAAUAAUACUUUUGAGGGUGAUUCUCACUGUUUCGUGUGAGUGAUUCCCAAUCGUGUUCAAAUUUCGUGCCGCCGAUCCUAGCUGCGGCUGGGAUCGGUGGGUGUUCCUUUUCUUCUCCCCUUCGCUGCUUUUUCCCCUGCUUUUUGGAUCGAUCUAACCUCUUCUCAUCCCACCGGUGUAUCUCCUCCUCCUUCCUCUAAUUCCCAACCUUUAGUCAAGUUUUGCCGCGAUUUGUUGCGGUUUGUCGAGUCGGUAAGUACAGAUCUGGUGCUUCCACUGGAUCGGGUGUUUCUAACACCACCACCUUCUCUUUGCGGUCUGCCUUUGUUGGUAAUGUUGCUCGUGGAUUUCCACGCGCUUCUUUCACUUUGUUGCAGGUUCUUUAGAAUCUGUGCUCUACUCGGACUGAAUAUUGGAAUUUUGGUUGUGGCUUGUAAUUGGCUGUUGUGUGGAUGCCUCUAACCCUCCUCUUAGAGCAGUUCCACCAUGGGCUAUUGCCAGUUGGACUGGCUUUGGAACAGGGCCAGAUAACCCGAGCGAGAUGCUCCAGCGUGUGCUGGCGAUGCACCGCCUUCGCCCCCACGCACUCGCGAUCCCCCUCCUUCCACUCGCGCGCCCAGAUCGAACGAUUUGGGAUUUGUUUUGGGGGGAAAGAGGAAAGAGAAAGAGAGAGAGAGAGAGAGAGAGAGAGAGAGAGAGAGAGUUUAGUUUGGGAGCGGGGAAGAUCGGGACCGUUGAUGGAGGCUGAGCUGGGAGGGAUGGUGAAGAUGGAGAAAGAGAGGCGGCGGUGGGGUGGUGAUGCUGAUGAUCACUGUGUCUCUGUGUCUGUGUGUAAGGAUUAAAGAAGAAAGAAUCAAAGCAUGAGUUUUGAUGGGUUCUUGAUGGAUUUUAGAGAGAGAAAGAGAGGAGACAGAGAGAGAGAGUAAUGAAAACCAGAGGCCACGCCUGCUGCUAGAAACAGAGAGAAAACACAGAGCACAAAACAAAGCAAAAAGAUGAGAGAAGAGAGAGAGAGAGGGAGAGUGAGUGAGUCCAUUCCCUUUUUUCACACGGUCUUAUAAUAUUUAAUUAAUUAAUUUUCUAAUAAAAAAUGGUAGAACGAACCCGAUUAAAAAUUCUAUCCGAAAUUACAAAUAAAAUUAUUUUGUAUUAUUUUUAAGGUUAAAAGACUGUUUACUACUCUCAUGUUUCAUUGUUUUCAACAUGUUUCAUUGUUUUCAACAUUUAGUACAUCAUUGUUUUUUCGUCACAGACUCAUAUCUAAAGUGUAAAUUUUGGGACAGUUUCAUAUAUUCGUUAGUUAAAAUGUUAAGUCUCCCGUUAACUGUGACGUGGCGUCCAUAUGAACAAUGACUAAGCGCCACGUGGGUCCACAUGGAUUUGUUUUUUAGGGGUUCAAAAAAACAUUUUCCGACAACCAUGUACCUACAUCUUUUCCUGCCAAAAGUUUUUGAAAAAAAAAUCAUCGACUUUUUUUUUUUUUUUUCUUCUUCCUCGCGGGGACGAUUGGGUUCCUGAUUGUGUUUUUUUUGCUUUUUUACCUCCUCCUCCUCCUCCUCCUCCUCCUUCUUCUUCUUCUUCUUCUGGGUUUUGGAGGUUGGGUUUUCUUCUCUUCCUCCAAAUCUGGGUUGUAGAUUCGGUUUUUUUUUUCUUUCUUUUUUUCUUCUUCCUUCUUCCUCCAAAUCUGGGUUGCAGAUUCCGUUUUUUUUUCUUCUUCCUCCGAAUCUGGGGAAGAUGAAGGCUUUUUUUUUUCCUUCUUCUUCUUCCUUCUUCUUCUUCUUCUGGGUUGCAGAUUCGGUUUUUUUUUUUCUUCUUCUUCCUCCUCUUUCUUCUUCUUCUUCUAGGUUGCAGAUUCAGUUUUUUAUUUUUUUCUUCCUCUUCCUUUUUCUUUUCCUUUUCUGGGUUUUUACUUUUUGUUCUUCUUCUGGGUUGGCGUUGGGGAGGUUGAGGGAGCGGACGACGGGGGAAGAGGAGGGAGGGAGAGGUUGGCGCUGUCGGACUCAAACAUUGGAGGGUUCAGGUGUGUGUGGUGAGGUUAGUGUCGGAAAUGGCGAAGCUUGAUAAAAUUGGGUGGUGGGUGUCUUGAUAAAAUUGGGGGAUGAAAUGGGUUCUGUUAUGUGGGUAUCAGGGAAAGGAAGGGUGUCGGUGGGUAGGGGUGGAGGCGAUAGAGGAGUGGAGCCGUGGAGGGGGUGGAGGGUGGGGAAGACGAAAGGGAACUGGGAGGGUGGGAUUUGGGGAAGACGAAGGGGUGGGUGAUAGGAGGGUGGGAGGCUGGGCACAGGUGGGAUUUGGGGAAGAAGGGGUUUUUUUUUUCUUUUAAUUUUUAAAUUAUUUUAAUUUAUUAAAUUAUUUUAUUUUAUAAAUACUUUAUUUUUAAUUUCCACGUGGAUGACAUGUAGUGCUCAGUCAUUAUCCACAUGGGCGCCACAUCAUCACUUAACUGGAAACUUAACCGUUUGACUAAAGGAUGUAUGAGACUGUCCCAAAAUUUACACUUUAGGUAUGACUCUGGGAUGAAAAAAAAAUUAUGUACUAAAUGUUGAAAACCUCAAAACAUGAGGGUAGUAAACAGUCUUUUGCCCUAUUUAAAAAAAAAAUACUAAUAUUUUAUUGACUAUUACCAGAGCUUUCAGUGUAGGAAUAGAGAUGCAAAAGACAGUUGCUAUUCAUUAAAAUCAAUUAUUGUUCACUGAAUGAAUUAAAUAAUGAAUAGUCCGGGAGGUCUUAGCAACGGUGAAACUGCUCUUAAGACCUCUAUUUAUAGAUUUACCAAAUAGAUUAGAGGCUAAACCAAAUCUACCACGACAAGCACAUUCUAUAUUGUUUAAUUAAUAAAUAACUAGUAGAUGGUCAUACACAUUAUGUUCAUUUUAUUUUGUUUUGUAUUAUAUAAAGCGUUGAUAAUUUCAAAAAGUCUAAAAAAUAAUAAUUAUGAGACAAUAAUGUCGUAGUUUUUUUUUAGGAAACUGUUAUUAGCAUUUCAAAAUCUCAUUCUACAUUCCUCAUAAGUGUAUUCUUCUUUCUAAUUAUAGAAAUGAGAUUUUUGGAGUGUUAAUAACAAUUUCUUUUUUUUUUUAACAUGGACAUUCUUCUAUUUUUAUUUUCAAGAUCAUAUUCAAAAGAGAUGUCAAAUAUGUCAAAUAUGAUUAAAAGACAUCCAGGUGUUCUUCAAUGGAUAUGCCAUAUAUAAUGUGGCAUGUGAUUCAUUUGACUCCUUACUUUCUACCUGCCUUUGUUUUACAACAAACAAAGAAUGAGUCAAAUAUAUUUAAUUUAAUUUUUUUAAUGCAUGGAUCCUAUUAACAACCAAUAGAAUAAAAAUUAAAACUAAUUUUGAUUAUUUUUUAGUAGUUAAUGUAACUCUAGGGCUAAGCCCAAUAAAUAAUAAAAUAAAGGGUAAAAGACUGUUUACUACCCUCAUGUUUCGUGGUUUUCAAUAUUUAGUACAUCAUGUUUUUUUCGUCUCAGAGUCAUACCUAAAGUGUAAAUUUUGGGACAGUCUCAUACAUCCGUUAGUCAAACUGUUAAGUUUUUCGUUAACUGUGACGUGGCGCACUGACUGGGCGCCACGUCUCAUCCACGUUUUUAUUUUUUAUUUUUUAUUUUUUUCUUUCUUUUCUUUUCUUCUUCUUCCUUCUUCUUCUUCUUCCUCCGACUGCAACUUUCUGUUUUUUUUUUUUUUUUUCCUUUUUCCUUUUCUUCCCUCCUUCCUCCUUCCUUUCCCUUUCUUCCCCUUCUUCCUUCUUCUUCCUUCUUCUUCCUUCUUCUUCCUCCGAAAUCUGGGGAAUGUUUUUUUUUUUUUUUCUUUCUUCUUCUUCCUUCUUCUUCCUUCCCCUUCUUUCUUCUUCUUCCUUCUCCUUCUUCUUCUUCUUCCUCCAAAAUCUGGAGAAGUUUGUUUUUUUUUUUUUUUUUCUUUCUUUCUUCUUCUUCCUCCUUCUUCUUCUUCUUCUUCCUCAAAAAAAAAAAAAAAAAAAAAAAAAAAAACACUUUUAUCUUUUCUUCCUCUUCUUCUUCUUCUUCUUUCUCUUUCCUCCUUCCUUCUUCUUCCUUCGAAUCUGUCCAGAUUCAGUUUUUUUUUUUUUCUUCUCUCUUCUCUUCUUCUCCUUCCCCUUCUUCGUUCUUCUUCUUCUUCCUCCGAAUUUGGGGGAAGAUGAAAGUGUUUUUUUUUUUUUUUUGAGGAAGAAGAAAGAAGAAAAAAAAAAAAAAAAAAAAAAAAAAAAAAAAACUUCCCCAGAUUUCGGAGGAAGAAGAAGAAGAAGAAGAAGAAGGAGAAGGAAGAAGAAGGAAGAAGGGGAAGGAAGAAGGAGGAAGAAGAAGAAAGAAAAAAAAAAAACAUUCCCCAGAUUUCAGAGGAAGAAGAAGGAAGAAGAAUGAAGAAAGGGAAAGGAAGAAAGAAGGAAAAGGAAGAAGCAAAAAAAAAAAAAACAAAAAAAAACAGAAAGUUGCAGUCGGAGGAAGAAGAAGGAAGAAGAAGAAAAGAAAAGAAAGAAAAAAGAAAAAAAGAAAAAACGUGGAUGACACGUGGUGCCCAGUCAGUGCGCCACGUCACAGUUAACGAAAAACUUAACAGUUUGACUAACGGAUGUAUGAGACUGUCCCAAAAUUUACACUUUAGGUAUGACUCUGAGACGAAAAAAACUUGAUGUACUAAAUGUUGAAAACCACGAAACAUGAGGGUAGUAAACAGUCUUUUACCCUAAAAUAAAUAUUUAGCACAUCUAUUGAAAAAAUAAAAGGAUUUAACACUCGUAUUCAAUUUACUAUUUUUGAUAUAUUAUAUUUGAUAUCUCAUUUGAAUAUGCUCUAAAUGAGACAUGAUAUGCUUUCAUAGAUGUGAAGGUGAUAUUAAAAAAAAUAAAAAAAAGUUCAUGAAAUUACUAGAUUAUGUAAGAACGCAUAUUUUGGUUAGGUUUCUGUGAAGUUUAAAAUUAGGGAACUUUAAAGAAAAACUUUCAGUACUAUUCAUUUUAACGAAAAAUUAUAUUUUUACGCUAAAAAAUUAAUCUUGCUACUAUUUAUUUUACCCUUUAUUUUGUUUAAAAUUUAAAAUUUUCAAAUCAUUUUUAUUAAUUUUCUUUUAAAAUUAAGAAGUGGGUUCCUUUCCCACUGUCGUCAAAGCGAGUUGAAAUCUUCUGCACCCAAAAGCCACUGUGGCUACCUUGUAGCCUCUCUCAGGAUUUGACACCUGUCCGCUACUAACUUCACUUUUAAACACUGUUAACUCUCUGAACAAAUUUAAAAAAAAGACAACAAUAAGCGUAAAACCAGAAGCUCAUCCGUCCCUGAUCUCUCCCACCGAACGCCAAACGCCGACCACCACCAAAGCAUCCCACAACCAUCCCUCUCGGCCUCUUGAUUGAGAAUAUCGCUGUAUUCUUCCAGAUCCCCGAUACUACAAACCCACUUCAAGACCCGCCAUAUCCGUGAGGUCGGCGGCUACCAGUCGGCGUUACGAGAAAUCGAAGCCCUCCGCCGCCAUUGAUGGGGCUUUUCCCAGUAUAUUCUUUCGCGCUUUAAUCUUUGUACAAUUACAAAACCAUCACUUGGAAGAAGACGACUUUUGGUGUUGGGAGGAUAAUGAGGACGGUGGCGACGACCGUCCGAUGAUUGGAAGCCAUGUGCUAUAAAUUUGGAAUUUGAAAGGAAAGCUGUGGUAGAUAGGUUGUAGGGGUGAAGAUGGCAGGGAAGGGAGGAAGGAGGAGGCGCUAUGGUUUCUGUGGGUUGAGAGGUAGAAGAGGGUGAGAUUGAGAGAGCUGAGAGAGCAAAUAGAUGGAUCUUUUUUUUUCUUUUUUUUUUUUAUAAUCUUUUUCAGAGUUAACGGUGUUAAACUAGAGUUAGUAGUUGACAGGUGUCAAACUCUAAGAAAGGCCACAGGGAUGUCACAGAGGCUUUUGGGUGCAGAAAAUUUCAACUCCGUCAAAGCCGGCCUUCUUUCUUCUUCUGCAAAUAUCAUCAUGACCCUUCUAUCUUUUCAGCAAUAUCAUCAUUAUAUUAAAUACUUUUCUUUUGUAUGCAAGUGGGGGUCGUCUGAUUUGGUAAGGUCAAGUGGGGGUCGUCUGAUUGGCGUAAGUUACGGAGCAGGUGGGUGUAACAUGUAUUUGGCCUCGGAAGUUUCGCAGCAACAUCCGCGCACCCUCGUCACACCUAAGUCCCAGUAACCAAGACUAGAUUGUAACACCACAUUUUUGGUGCGCUGGUCAAGCCGCCACGUGAACCAGUCACUUAACAGAUAGUUUUCUAAGAGAAAUUUUUAGUUGUGACAAAAACACGAAUAGUACACCACGUGUUGUUAUGCAAGUGAUGAAAAAUUUUAAUUUUUAAAUUAUUAACCUUAUAACACAUAUAACCCAUC
RNAcentral lists this long non-coding RNA (7990 nucleotides) under Malus domestica (apple). RNAcentral's name for it is "long non-coding RNA (MDOM_LNC002469)". Lineage: Eukaryota; Viridiplantae; Streptophyta; Magnoliopsida; Rosales; Rosaceae. The record is from RNAcentral.